This 327-nucleotide ribosomal RNA is filed under the name uncultured eukaryote. RNAcentral describes it as "partial 18S ribosomal RNA". It matches the Rfam family "Eukaryotic small subunit ribosomal RNA", at positions 1470 to 1796 of the family's 1831-position model. The record is from RNAcentral.
CCCUUAGAUGUUCUGGGCCGCACGCGCGCUACACUGAUGCAUUCAACGAGUUUCUUCCUGGUCCGAGAGGAAUGGGUAACCUUUUGAAAGUGCAUCGUGAUAGGGAUAGACUAUUGCAAUUAUUGGUCUUCAACGAGGAAUUCCUAGUAGACGUAGUUCAUCAGACUGCGUCGAUUACGUCCCUGCCCUUUGUACACACCGCCCGUCGCUCCUACCGAUUGGGUGUGCUGGUGAAAUGUUCGGAUCGGCCGUUUGUCGCGGUUUCCGCGUCAUGUGGCUGAGAAGUUCAUUAAACCCUCCCACCUAGAGGAAGGAGAAGUCGUAACA